Numida meleagris (helmeted guineafowl) is the source of this 1360-nucleotide long non-coding RNA. RefSeq lists it as uncharacterized. The transcript has 5 exons. The record is from RefSeq and is a predicted model, not a curated record. Lineage: Eukaryota; Metazoa; Chordata; Aves; Galliformes; Numididae.
AGGAAGUCAGCCUGAUAAAGAAAUUAAAAGUGGUGGUUGUUGACAUCAUCAUAACAUUCAUAUCCAAAUCUCAUCCAAAGAGGAGGUAAGGCGAAGUGUUGCUGACAAGUCAUCUGGACAACCUGCGUAAUGUAACAGACUUAAAAAUGCAUGCAGGCACACAACAGGAGGCUCUGUUGUUCAGGCCUAACUAGAUUGCUGAUGCUUCUGUUCCUCAGGAUUCUCCUUGGAUCAGAUGAGAGAAAGAAAAUGAGAAGAUGUGUGUGCUGAGGGUGAUGAUAAGAUUGAAAUGAACACCUGCUCACAGUUCUACUUAGUUCAGCUACUUCGUUAAGGUGAGCGUCCAUCCUGCCAGCACUCUGAGAUGGUGCCAGCCCCCAUGAUCAGGGUGCUGCGAUUGGGGGUGGCCAGGACAUACAACACAGCUGAAUAGCUCGAACUGGGCUGGCUCAGAGCAUGGGUGAGGAGGCAUGCAGCUGGACAUACCUGCCCACGUACCUCUUGCUACAUGUUUUAUUUGACACACAGUGGGUACCCAUGAUUUCUGCUGAUGGUAGUUGGUCCUAACUGUAAGGAGAUCAGAAUCUCCAUUAUGUGCCUACUGAAAUCCCAGCCGAGAUUCAAUCUUAACUCCAGUAGCCGAGUCAAACCUUGUUAGAUGGUAGGUGCUGCUUAACCACUUUGAUGUAGAUAAAAUUUGAAUAGAUAAACAAAGGUGAACAAACUAGAUGUAGCGGGAAGAGGAAAACCAAACAAGGACUUUAAUCCAUUGAAAUUAUACAUGUAAGUUUGCAUACUAGCCCUUUACAUUAGCUUGUCUCAAUCUCACCUAUUUGCUAUGAUGCAUGGAGAAGUAUAUAUGAUUCUAUGGUGUCAUGAUUGUCCUGACAUUUCCAUAUGCAACUUUGACCAGAGAGCUCAAGAAUAAAAUCUGAUGAGAAUUUAUUAUGCAAUUCAAACUGAAGAGAGUUGCUCAUAUGGGUCUAAAAUAGCCUCAAACUGCUACAGUUCAAAUGAAGUGCCUUAGAAACUUCCUGACUUCACUUGAGUGGCCAGCCUGAAGGAAGGUCACAUCAUGCUGGGAGGUGAUCUAGCCUGACACAAUGGAACUAUUUCAGACUGAAAAAUAAAACUGCAUGAAGCAACUCAAAAUAGAAUAUGGUUUAUGUUAAUUUUCUUUGUUUUGCUCUCAGUAGUGGUCUUGCUUUUUUGUAAUGACCUGCCCUUGAUCUGAAAGCUGAAAACUCACUUUUAAAAUCUGUCUUCACUGAGGACAUACCAUCAGUUACCAGCUUAAUGGCAUUGCCUCUGCUUUCUUAUUUACCUUUGUUUUACAGAUGUGUGUAUACAUAUGAGCUUA